CACGUAGGGGGCAAGCGUUGUCCGGAUUUAUUGGGCGUAAAGAGCGUGUAGGCGGCCAGACAGGUCAGCUGUGAAAACUCGAGGCUCAACCUCGAGACGUCGGUUGAAACCGUCUGGCUAGAGUCCGGAAGAGGAGAGUGGAAUUCCCGGUGUAGCGGUGAAAUGCGCAGAUAUCGGGAAGAACACCCGUGGCGAAGGCGGCUCUCUGGGACGGUACUGACGCUGAGACGCGAAAGCGUGGGGAGCGAACAGG
RNAcentral lists this ribosomal RNA (253 nucleotides) under uncultured bacterium. Its description in RNAcentral is "partial 16S ribosomal RNA". It matches the Rfam family "Bacterial small subunit ribosomal RNA", at positions 524 to 776 of the family's 1533-position model. The record is from RNAcentral.